UCUCCCUUCUUAUGUAUAUGCAAGUAAGAAUGCUACCGUGUAGGUGCAAUGAUCUGUUCCCUUUCUUGUGGUAACCCAAAAAAAAUCUUUCGUUGACUAUAAUUCUCAGGCUUUUUUUAAAAAGAUAUUUGAAUCAUUAGCUAUAUUUACUUCUAGUACUAAUGUAGUUUUCAAAUAUGUACAUUAUGUUUUGAAUUUUUUGAAGAAUCUGUACAUGAAUUCAUAAUCAUAUAUUGGGACAAAGGGAAUAAUCAAUGGUAAUUCAUAGUUAUGUGAUUAAUCAUACAAAUACAUUUCAUAUUUUACCUUAGAAAUUUAUAUUUGAAGAACUGCUAGAUGUGAAUGUUUACACAGAGAAUAGCAAAGGAAAAGUUGAGUCAUGAUUAUAAAAUGGGUUACUUGUUGGUAUCUUCCAUCUACUUUUUCUUCAUUUUUGUUAUUUGUUUUUGGCAAUUCCAUCUUUGGAAAAAGGAUUGGAUUGUAUGGUGAUGCACUCACUAGGACUGUGAGUGGAUGGAUCGCCAUCUGAGCCCUACAGAUUUAUUUUAUUUGAUUCUUUUAUCAAUCAAAAAAUUCAUAAUACCUCCUUUGGGACAUUCAGCUUGAAAAAUGAUAUUUGUAUAUUUUAAUCGCAAUGUUUCUGAAUCGAAUUCUUAGUUACUUCAGGAAUCUAAUUAUUUCCAUGUUAUUUAUCCUUUUAACAUUGCUUUAUUUCUAUUCUCUUGUAGUUUUAAAAAACUAAAGAUGAAUGACAAGUAACAUGUUACCAACAAUUCAACAACCGAGAAUGGCUCUUAUAUGUGGAUUAUCCUGAGGGAAAAGUUACCGUCAGCGGCAACCAAGAGAUUGUAGUCACAAAAGAGAAGAAUUGUUCCAAUGAAACAAAAUUCGGUUCUCCAAUGCUUCCCCAUGUUUAGCAAGAUAUGUGAGCCGAGGAUGCUAACACCACAACAUUUCCAGACGUGAGUUUGAACUGAAUACAUAUGAAAUGCUUUAACAUCAAGCAUAUAUAUGUGCAAAAAUAUGAAGGCUAGACUUGCCAGUAGAAAAGCAGUUUCGGAGAGCCAAGAAGAAGACAUAUGUUGUGCAAUUCAGGUGACCCUGUUUAUACUGGUUCUUUUAACACACACAUAUCUCUUGAUGUUGUCUGUGAGGCCUUUAAACCGGAUAUUGCUGAUCCUGUGUUACAUGGA
Long non-coding RNA from Capsicum annuum, 1193 nucleotides. RefSeq lists it as uncharacterized. The transcript has 2 exons. Lineage: Eukaryota; Viridiplantae; Streptophyta; Magnoliopsida; Solanales; Solanaceae. The record is from RefSeq and is a predicted model, not a curated record.